RNAcentral lists this long non-coding RNA (1026 nucleotides) under Homo sapiens (human). RNAcentral describes it as "HSALNT0197721". Lineage: Eukaryota; Metazoa; Chordata; Mammalia; Primates; Hominidae. The record is from RNAcentral.
AAAAAAAAAAAAGAGAAUAAAUUUUUAUUUCCUGACAUGAGCAGAUGUUGAAGACAUAUUACUAACUGAAAUGGAAAAAAAGAUGGAGGGUGUUAUUACAGCACAAAAGGACUGAAAAGGACUUAUUUUUCUGUAUUGUUUGAAUUCUUAUGAGGGUACAUUUUGUAACAUCAAAAAGCAAAUUAAAAAUAUGGCUCAUUCCAAGGUACAAAAAAUUACUCUGGCAAAUCAAAGUUUUUCAAAGUAUCUUCAGACUCAAAGAAGUCAAAAAAUAAGCUGGACACAGAUAGACACUAUUUGUUCCUGUAGCAGCUGGAAACCACAGUGAAAGGGCGUUGGCUUUUCCUCCUUAGAAGGGCCUCAGCACCUGACUUUGGAGAGAGCCCAUUCUUUGCCAUUUUUCCUCUACAUGGUGGUUGUCAAUGGACUCUUAGGGGACCAAGAAUCACUUUACAACAUUCUGUUCUCCUAUUCAAAAUGGGUCAUGCUCCAUACUUCUCAGAGUCAUCACCCAAAAUCAUACAUUUCAAUGCUUUUUCAAACAUGUGAAUACCACCCAGAAAAUUCGUAAGCAUGCCAUUAUCCUCCAGGCCCUUUAUUACAUGAUCACCAUCAUUAAAGUCCUAACACUUAACCAUUUUGUAGUAGUUAUGACAACUGUUACCUUAACAGUGAACAGAUCAGAUGACAACGUAUCCAUGGCCAGGUGGGACGAUGUGGACCCAGGAGGACCUAAAAUCAUGGCCAAGAGACCUCUGCACCACAUGCUGACUCUGUAAGGCCAUCUCUCCUUGAGUGCUAGGUAUUGUUGAAGGAGGGAGUUUCUACUUGUCUCUACUGUGACUGAACAUGAAGUACAGACUUUUAUAAGUAAUAUAUAUAUUUUUUGAGACGGAGUUUCGAUCUUGUUGCCCAGGCUGGAGUGCAGUGGUGUGAUCUCAGCUUACCACAACCUCCGCCUCCUGGGUUCAAGCGAUUCUCCUGCUUCAACCUCCCAAGUAGCUGGGAUUACAGGCAAGCACCACC